This 497-nucleotide ribosomal RNA is filed under the name uncultured bacterium. RNAcentral's name for it is "partial 16S ribosomal RNA". It matches the Rfam family "Bacterial small subunit ribosomal RNA", at positions 28 to 507 of the family's 1533-position model. The record is from RNAcentral.
GAUGAACGCUGGCGGCGUGCCUAAUACAUGCAAGUCGAGCGAACAGACGAGGAGCUUGCUCCUCUGACGUUAGCGGCGGACGGGUGAGUAACACGUGGAUAACCUACCGAUAAGACUGGGAUAACUUCGGGAAACCGGAGCUAAUACCGGAUAAUAUAUUGAACCGCAUGGUUCAAUAGUGAAAGACGGUUUUGCUGUCACUUAUAGAUGGAUCCGCGCCGCAUUAGCUAGUUGGUAAGGUAACGGCUUACCAAGGCAACGAUGCGUAGCCGACCUGAGAGGGUGAUCGGCCACACUGGAACUGAGACACGGUCCAGACUCCUACGGGAGGCAGCAGUAGGGAAUCUUCCGCAAUGAGCGAAAGCCUGACGGAGCAACGCCGCGUGAGUGAUGAAGGUCUUCGGAUCGUAAAACUCUGUUAUUAGGGAAGAACAAAUGUGUAAGUAACUAUGCACGUCUUGACGGUACCUAAUCAGAAAGCCACGGCUAACUACGUG